ACUCCGGCCUGGACUGCGGCGGG
Molecule: microRNA, 23 nt
Filed under: Bos taurus (domestic cattle)
Lineage: Eukaryota; Metazoa; Chordata; Mammalia; Artiodactyla; Bovidae
Description: bta-miR-2316
Source: miRBase by way of RNAcentral